CUGCCUUUGGCCACUCCUUGUCCUACUCCAUCUUCUAGGUUCUCAGUCACUUAGCUCUGUGUAUUGAGAAGAGGCUCACCCAGACUGUGCUUAGUGUCCUGGUGGCUGUGGCUAAAGGUACAAUCUUAGGGCAGGAACCAUGGAAACAGGUGCAUUAACAGGAGAUGUGUUUUUUUUGUGUAAGAUGUGUAAGUUUUUGUUGUUGAAUCAAUUGAUUCUUUAUAAUAAAACCUAAAUGAA
Long non-coding RNA from Gorilla gorilla gorilla (western lowland gorilla), 240 nucleotides. RefSeq lists it as uncharacterized. The record is from RefSeq and is a predicted model, not a curated record. The transcript is spliced from 2 exons. NCBI's taxonomy places the organism in Eukaryota, Metazoa, Chordata, Mammalia, Primates, Hominidae.